Caretta caretta (loggerhead turtle) is the source of this 662-nucleotide long non-coding RNA. RefSeq lists it as uncharacterized. The record is from RefSeq and is a predicted model, not a curated record. NCBI's taxonomy places the organism in Eukaryota, Metazoa, Chordata, Testudines, Cheloniidae.
GUUAUCUCAUCACAGAAGGCAAUCAGGUUGGUCAGGCAUGACUUGCCCUUGGUGAAUCCAUGUUGACUGUUCCUGAUCACCUUCCGCUCCUCCAAGUGCUUCAAAAUGGAUUCUUUGAGGACUUGCUCCAUGAUUUUUCCAGGGACUGAGGUAACUACUUGCAGACCAUGGUCAAGCACCUCUUAUCCUUUUCUUGGAUAAACUAAAUAGACUCAAGGAGCUCAAUCACUGUAAGGCAUUCCCUCCCCAAGGAAACACCUUCUAUUCCUCUUCACCAGCUCCAUCUCUGACCCUGGACAUAAGACUUGACUUUACCAUGGUGUAUUGUAUUACUCAAAUCCAGUUGCUGACCAGUACCUGCUUGCAAAACCAAACUGACUUUGCUGCCACUUCAUGAGAUUCUGAAACUCCCAAGGUGGUGCUCUGGGUUCCAAAAUUGGUGUCUUGAUCUGUAAAAGGCACCAUGCACAGAGCAAACACGUGCCUCUUGACACAUGUAUCCUUUGCAGUGGACGUGUUAUUCCUCGACUUUAGCAAAUCUUUUGACACGGUCUCCCACAGUAUUCUUGUCAGCAAGUUAAAGAAGUAUGGGCUGGAUGGAUGCACCAGAAGGUGGGUAGAAAGUUGGCUAGAUUGUUGGGCUCAUUGGGUAGUGACCAAUG